This 550-nucleotide ribosomal RNA is filed under the name uncultured Alphaproteobacteria bacterium. RNAcentral describes it as "partial 16S ribosomal RNA". The record is from RNAcentral. Lineage: Bacteria; Pseudomonadati; Pseudomonadota; Alphaproteobacteria.
GCGUUGGGAGCUCUCCCAUAUGGUCGACCUGCAGGCGGCCGCGAAUUCACUAGUGAUUCGUAUUACCGCGGCUGCUGGCACGGAGUUAGCCGGGGCUUAUUCUCCCGGUACUGUCAUUAUCAUCCCGGGUAAAAGAGCUUUACAACCCUAAGGCCUUCAUCACUCACGCGGCAUUGCUGGAUCAGGCUUGCGCCCAUUGUCCAAUAUUCCCCACUGCUGCCUCCCGUAGGAGUCUGGGCCGUGUCUCAGUCCCAGUGUGGCUGAUCAUCCUCUCAGACCAGCUAAGGAUCGUCGCCUUGGUGCGCCUUUACCACACCAACUAGCUAAUCCUACGCGGGCUCAUCCUCAGGCGAUAAAUCUUUGGUCUUAUCGACAUCAUCCGGUAUUAGCAGUCAUUUCUAACUGUUAUUCCGAACCUGAGGGCAGAUUCCCACGCGUUACGCACCCGUGCGCCACUAGACCCGAAGAUCUCGUUCGACUUGCAUGUGUUAGGCAUGCCGCCAGCGUUCGUUCUGAGCCAUGAUCAAACUCUAAUCGAAUUCCCGCGGCC